Molecule: ribosomal RNA, 1371 nt
Filed under: uncultured bacterium
Lineage: Bacteria
Description: bacterial SSU rRNA
Rfam family: Bacterial small subunit ribosomal RNA
Source: RNAcentral
GAUGAACGCUGGCGGCGUGCCUAAUACAUGCAAGUCGAGCGAACGGACGAGAAGCUUGCUUCUCUGAUGUUAGCGGCGGACGGGUGAGUAACACGUGGAUAACCUACCUAUAAGACUGGGAUAACUUCGGGAAACCGGAGCUAAUACCGGAUAAUAUUUUGAACCGCAUGGUUCAAAAGUGAAAGACGGUCUUGCUGUCACUUAUAGAUGGAUCCGCGCUGCAUUAGCUAGUUGGUAAGGUAACGGCUUACCAAGGCAACGAUGCAUAGCCGACCUGAGAGGGUGAUCGGCCACACUGGAACUGAGACACGGUCCAGACUCCUACGGGAGGCAGCAGUAGGGAAUCUUCCGCAAUGGGCGAAAGCCUGACGGAGCAACGCCGCGUGAGUGAUGAAGGUCUUCGGAUCGUAAAACUCUGUUAUUAGGGAAGAACAUAUGUGUAAGUAACUGUGCACAUCUUGACGGUACCUAAUCAGAAAGCCACGGCUAACUACGUGCCAGCAGCCGCGGUAAUACGUAGGUGGCAAGCGUUAUCGGGAAAUAUUGGGCGUAAAGCGCGCGUAGGCGGUUUUUUAGUCUGAUGUGAAAGCCCACGGCUCAACCGUGGAGGGUCAUUGGAAACUGGAAAACUUGAGUGCAGAAGAGGAAAGUGGAAUUCCAUGUGUAGCGGUGAAAUGCGCAGAGAUAUGGAGGAACACCAGUGGCGAAGGCGACUUUCUGGUCUGUAACUGACGCUGAUGUGCGAAAGCGUGGGGAUCAAACAGGAUUAGAUACCCUGGUAGUCCACGCCGUAAACGAUGAGUGCUAAGUGUUAGGGGGUUUCCGCCCCUUAGUGCUGCAGCUAACGCAUUAAGCACUCCGCCUGGGGAGUACGACCGCAAGGUUGAAACUCAAAGGAAUUGACGGGGACCCGCACAAGCGGUGGAGCAUGUGGUUUAAUUCGAAGCAACGCGAAGAACCUUACCAAAUCUUGACAUCCUUUGACAACUCUAGAGAUAGAGCCUUCCCCUUCGGGGGACAAAGUGACAGGUGGUGCAUGGUUGUCGUCAGCUCGUGUCGUGAGAUGUUGGGUUAAGUCCCGCAACGAGCGCAACCCUUAAGCUUAGUUGCCAUCAUUAAGUUGGGCACUCUAAGUUGACUGCCGGUGUCAAACCGGAGGAAGGUGGGGAUGACGUCAAAUCAUCAUGCCCCUUAUGAUUUGGGCUACACACGUGCUACAAUGGACAAUACAAAGGGCAGCGAAACCGCGAGGUCAAGCAAAUCCCAUAAAGUUGUUCUCAGUUCGGAUUGUAGUCUGCAACUCGACUACAUGAAGCUGGAAUCGCUAGUAAUCGUAGAUCAGCAUGCUACGGUGAAUACGUUCCCGGGUCU